CAGUCUUCAGUGUCAAUUCAAUUCAAUUCAAUUCAAUUCACAUUUAUUUGUAUAGCGCUUUUCGCGAUACCUAUCGUUUCAAAGCAGCUGUUAAAUGUCGCUGUAGAUUUUGCAGCACAGUACUGUAAAAACCUACAGUACAGUACCAUAUUUCUAUAUUACAGUAAAAUACUGUAAUUUAUAUUGCAUUCUGGGUAAUUUUGAUUGAGCGGGAAUAUUUUACAGUACAUUUUAGUGUUGCUGUAACCCUGCUGUAACCUGGCUGUAAUAUACCAGGCAAUAAUACAGGAUUGCUGUAAAUAAAGCGCCACCUGACGUCACAUCACACAGACAGAAGAACACAGCCGCUGGUGACUGGAGAAGCAGAACGGUGUAUUUCUGGAAGUUUGCAGUGUGGUCCACUUGUCUUUGCAUCCUGGGAAGUGCAUUGCUGUCACAAGGAAGCGUAUUUUUUUGGCAUUGAAGGAAAGAAAUGUACUGCCCGACAGGGAGUGAGCAGAAGACCAGGACGGUGGUGCAGAGUGAUGGCCAUCAACCCACAUGUCAACAGCUUCGUUCGGUCCUUUGUGUUUAAAUGGAAGACUUCACACUGAGGGACUGUGGCCUGUUUGCAACCAUCCACGUGCCCUUCAGUUAGGGGUGAAUCUUGUGGGACACUUGUUGUUUUUGCUCACUUUUUAAGAUAAAUCAAAUUUCUGAUGCACUGUACCAAGACCGUUGCUGAUGGGGCGAAAGAUGGUGACAAUUCUGAAAUGUUUUGAAAUGUUUAAAUAUAUUGAUUGAAUAAAAAUACAUUUUUUAAAUUUA
This is a long non-coding RNA of Megalobrama amblycephala (Wuchang bream), 807 nucleotides long. RefSeq lists it as uncharacterized. The transcript has 3 exons. The record is from RefSeq and is a predicted model, not a curated record. Lineage: Eukaryota; Metazoa; Chordata; Actinopteri; Cypriniformes; Xenocyprididae.